This 2874-nucleotide ribosomal RNA is filed under the name Helicobacter felis. RNAcentral's name for it is "bacterial LSU rRNA". It matches the Rfam family "Bacterial large subunit ribosomal RNA". The record is from RNAcentral. Lineage: Bacteria; Pseudomonadati; Campylobacterota; Epsilonproteobacteria; Campylobacterales; Helicobacteraceae.
AGAGUAGAUGGUGGAUGCCUUGGGUAGUAGAGGCGAUGAAGGACGUACUAGACUGCGAUAAGCUGCGUGGAGCUGUCAAGAAGCUUUGAGGCGCAGAUGUCCGAAUGGGGCAACCCAACUUACAGCAAUGUAAGUUACUCUAUUUAAGAGAGCGAACCUAGCGAAGUGAAACAUCUCAGUAGCUAGAGGAAAAGAAAUCAACGAGAUUCCCUGAGUAGUGGCGAGCGAAAGGGGAAGAGGGCAAACCGGGUGCUUGCACUCGGGGUUGAGGACGACAACAUUCAAGGGGUUUAUCUAGCAGAGUUACCUGGAAAGGUAAGCCAUAGAAGGUGAUAGCCCUGUAUGCGAAAGAUACACCCUAGAUAGUCGUAUCCAGAGUAGGCCAGGACACGUGAAAUCCGGGCUGAAGCCGGGGAGACCACUCUCCAACCCUAAAUACUACUACUACACCGAUAGCGCACAAGUACCGUGAGGGAAAGGUGAAAAGAACCGUGGGUAACGGAGUGAAAUAGAACCUGAAACCAUCUACUUACAAUCAUUCAGAGCCCUAUGAUUUAUCAGGGUGAUGGACUGCCUUUUGCAUAAUGAUCCUGCGAGUUGUGGUGUCUGGCAAGGUUAAGUGAAAACGAGCCGUAGCGAAAGCGAGUCUGAAUAGGGCGCUUUAGUCAGACGCUGCAGACCCGAAGCCAAGUGAUCUAUCCAUGGCCAAGUUGAAACGAGUGUAACAGCUUGUGGAGGACUGAACCCGUGCCCAUUGAAACGGGCUGGGAUGAGCUGUGGAUAGGGGUGAAAGGCCAAACAAACUUGGUGAUAGCUGGUUCUCUUCGAAAUAUAUUUAGGUAUAGCCUCAAGUCAUAACAAGAGGGGGUAGAGCUCUGAUUGGGCUAGGGCUGCUCGCCGCAGUACCAAACCCUGUCAAACUGCGAAUACCUUUUGUUGUAUCUUGGGAGUCAGGCGGUGGGUGAUAAAAUCAAUCGUCAAGAGGGAAACAACCCAGACUACCAACUAAGGUCCCCAAGUUCUAUUCUGAGUGGAAAAAGAUGUGUGGUUACUCAAACAACCAGGAGGUUGGCUUAGAAGCAGCCAUCCUUUAAAGAAAGCGUAACAGCUCACUGGUCUAGUGAUCAUGCGCUGAAAAUAUAACGGGGCUAAGAUAGACACCGAAGUUGUAGAUUGCUCUUUUAGAGCAGUGGUAGAAGAGCGUUCUGUGCAGCGUUGAAGGCAUACCGGUAAGGAGUGUUGGAGCGCACAGAAGUGAGCAUGCAGGAAUGAGUAGCGAUAAGAUACGUAAGAAUCGUAUCCGCCGUAAAUCUAAGGUUUCCUACGCGAUGUUCGUCAUCGUAGGGUUAGUCGGGUCCUAAGCCAAGUCCGAAAGGGGUAGGCGAUGGGAAAUAGGUUAAUAUUCCUAUACCAAUUAGGGUGUGCGAUGGGAGGACGCAUAAAGUUAGGUGAGCUAGCUGAUGGAAGUGCUAGUCGAAGGGUGUAGAUUGGGAGAGAGGCAAAUCCGCUCCUGUAUUUGAAACCUAACAGGCUCUCUAAGACCUUCGGGUCAAGGAGAGAAUCACUGAUACUAUCGUGCCAAGAAAAGUCUCUAAGUUUAGCCCUAAUUGUCCGUACCGCAAACCGACACAGGUAGAUGAGAUGAGUAUUCUAAGGCGCGUGGAAGAACUCUCUUUAAGGAACUCUGCAAACUAGCACCGUAAGUUCGCGAUAAGGUGUGCCUACGCAAGUAGGUCUCAGCAAAGAGUCCCUCCCGACUGUUUACCAAAAACACAGCACUUUGCCAACUCGUAAGAGGAAGUAUAAGGUGUGACGCCUGCCCGGUGCUCGAAGGUUAAGAGGAUGGGUUAGCUCGCAAGAGCGAAGCUUUGAAUUGAAGCCCGAGUAAACGGCGGCCGUAACUAUAACGGUCCUAAGGUAGCGAAAUUCCUUGUCGGUUAAAUACCGACCUGCAUGAAUGGCGUAACGAGAUGGGAGCUGUCUCAAAGAGAGAUCCAGUGAAAUUGUAGUGGAGGUGAAAAUUCCUCCUACCCGCAGCAAGACGGAAAGACCCCGUGGACCUUUACUACAGCUUAGCACUGCUAAUGGGAAUGCCAUGCGCAGGAUAGGUGGGAGGCUGUGAAGCAAGAGCUUUGGCUCUUGUGGAGCCAUCCUUGAGAUACCACCCUUGGCGUUUUUGUUAGCUAACUGGCUAGAGUUAUCCUCUAGCAGGACAAUGCUUGGUGGGUAGUUUGACUGGGGCGGUCGCCUCCUAAAAAGUAACGGAGGCUUACAAAGGUUAGCUCAUGGCGGUUGGAAAUCGCCAGUUGAGUGUAAUGGCACAAGCUAGCUUAACUGCAAGAGAGACAACUCAAGCAGAGACGAAAGUCGGUCAUAGUGAUCCGGUGGUUCUCGUGUGGGAGAGCCAUCGCUCAAAGGAUAAAAGGUACCCCGGGGAUAACAGGCUGAUCUCCCCCAAGAGCUCACAUCGACGGGGAGGUUUGGCACCUCGAUGUCGGCUCAUCGCAUCCUGGGGCUGGAGCAGGUCCCAAGGGUAUGGCUGUUCGCCAUUUAAAGCGGUACGCGAGCUGGGUUCAGAACGUCGUGAGACAGUUCGGUCCCUAUCUGCUGUGGGCGUAGGAAAGCUGAGGAGAGCUGUCCCUAGUACGAGAGGACCGGGAUGGACAUGCCACUGGUGCACCAGUUGUUCUGCCAAGAGCACCGCUGGGUAGCUACGCAUGGUUGUGAUAAGAGCUGAAAGCAUCUAAGCUCGAAGCCAACUCCAAGAUGAGCUUUCCCUGAAGCUCGCAUGAAGACUACAUGUUUGAUAGGGUGGGUGUGUAAGUGCAGUAAUGCACUCAGCUAACCACUACUAAUAGAGCGUUUGGCUUGUUU